Dipodomys ordii (Ord's kangaroo rat) is the source of this 72-nucleotide small nucleolar RNA. Its record names the gene SNORD18. It matches the Rfam family "Small nucleolar RNA SNORD18". From Rfam's summary of the family: U18 is a member of the C/D class of snoRNA which contain the C (UGAUGA) and D (CUGA) box motifs. It is encoded in introns of ribosomal protein L1 in Xenopus and human, and in introns of elongation factor 1 beta in yeast. NCBI's taxonomy places the organism in Eukaryota, Metazoa, Chordata, Mammalia, Rodentia, Heteromyidae. The record is from Ensembl.
CAGUAGUGAUGAAAUUCCACUCCAUUGGUCCGUGUUUCUGAACCGCAUGAUUUUUUUGGAUAUUCUGACGCU